GUGCCAGCAGCCGCGGUAAUACGGAGGGGGCAAGCGUUAUUCGGAAUUACUGGGCGUAAAGCGCACGUAGGCGGCGAAGCAAGUCAAGGGUGAAAGCCCUCGGCUCAACCGAGGAGUUGCCCUUGAAACUGUUUCGCUUGAGUCCGGGAGGGGGGAGCGGAAUUCCCAGUGUAGCGGUGAAAUGCGUAGAUACUGGGAGGAGCACCGGUGGCGAAGGCGGCUCCCUGGACCGGUACUGACGCUGAGGCACGAAAGCGUGGGGAGCGAACGGGAUUAGAUACCCCGGUAGUCCACGCCCUAAACGAUGGAUGCUAGGUGUUGGAUCCGAGAGGAUUCAGCGCCGAAGCUAACGCGUUAAGCAUCCCGCCUGGGGACUACGGCCGCAAGGCUGAAACUCAAAGGAAUUGACGGGG
Molecule: ribosomal RNA, 413 nt
Filed under: uncultured prokaryote
Description: bacterial SSU rRNA
Rfam family: Bacterial small subunit ribosomal RNA
Source: RNAcentral